GAAGAAACUGGGGAGAGUAUUUCAGGCAGAAGGAACAGCCUGUGCAAAGGUCUUGGGCUGGAAAUGAGCUUGAUGUGUUGGGGGACAGCAAGGAGGCCAAGUGCUGAGCUGAGUGGAGACACAAGGUUGGGGGCUAUAGCCACGGGAGGUGGGGGUGGGGGGUUGGAAUUCUAUUCCCAGUGAGAUGGGAAGCCCUUUAGAGGGCUGUGAACAGAAAUGAUGGCCUCUGACUUGGAUUUUGGAACACAUUGUGACUGCUGGAAUGGGGGUUUGGAAUGGGGAAUGGGAACCAGUACCAUGGAGAGGCCCAGUUAGGAGCUGCUGUACAGGCAGGUGACAGGCGGGACAGAUGGAGGGCCAUGGGACUGGGGCACUUGGAUGGAGGUGAUGGGAGAAGAGGAAUGUGGUAUGGCUGCAUGGUUGGGCUGCCAGAGGAAGAGGAGGUCCAAGAGGACCCCACAGGGUUUGGCGCGAGGAAAUGGAAGAACAGGGUCGCCAUGCACUGAGCCCCUGGGCCUCCCUUUCCGAAGGUCGGCACUGAUAAGUCCCUGAUACGGAGGGCGACAAAGAUCCGGCUUAGAUUCCCAGGUGCCUUCAGCUUCCAGAACACUCGGGCUUAAGCGAGGGAGGACACAGCUCCAGAUGACAGGAGCAGGCUCCCCAGGAAGAGGGUGCCUGGAGGCCUGCCAAGCAGGCCGGCUACCCACCUAGCGCGCCGUUGGUAAACACGCCAGUUUCCAAUAACAGAGGGGCGACCACACCCGGCCCCGCCCCUGACAGCCAGCGAGCCGCGCCGGCUCCAGCUCCGGGCAGGAGGCAGUCUGCGCUCACAUGAUGGGCCGCGGGGGUGGCAGGAGGAGCCUGGCGGGACCUCAGCGGGUCUGGCAGGGGGCUCCGGGAAGUCCUUCUGAAAAUGGGCCCCGGGCGGCGCAGGCCGGCGGUAAACAAACGCCGUGAAGUCACGGGCGCCGCUGACCUGCGGCUGAACCCUGAGCUGUAAAUGAGAUGCAAGGUGCCAGCAGCCUCCAGGCCGCACCGCCUGCGAGCCACACACGCUCCUGCGCGCCGGCCCGAGGUUACCCCAGCUGCACACACGGACAGGAUGCUGCAAACGCCACCAGACAUUGCAACACGCAGCCAGUCUGCUGGCCGCAGCGUGAACCCUCCGCCGCCCCCCUGGCAGGCACCAGCCCAGCUGGAGCGCAGCCUCCCUCCUCGGAACAUCCCCGGGGGCUGGCGGCUUCCACCCAUCUGGGGGUCAGCCUCUGUACUCGGGGCCUCGUCCCUGGCUCUCCAGGGACCCUCCAUAUCCGAGGGCUGGGCUCCUGGGGUCAGCUUCGGGCUUUCUGCCCAGCAGAUUGGGGGAGUGCCUGCCUUGGCACUUGGCUUUCUGGGAAGCUCGUUCCUCCUAGGGGAAGCGGAAGAGCUGGAGCGCUUGAGGCCCUUCCUCCAGGUGUAAGGAGAUGCCAGAGUGUCCCGCCGGCUGCUCACCAGCCACUGCCCACCUGCACCGAGCUCCCACAGCAGCCCUGGACUGUGCACCCUUGGCAGCAGGGCGGGUGUCUGAACUGCCCUUCAGAAGGAAAGCAGCCUGGCUGGAGCCAGGCAGGCCAGCAUUCUGCUCUGGAGUUGAUUUGCUGUGCGACUUUUGGAUAAGUCACGUGGCAUCUCUGAACUUCACCAUCUCCCUCUGGGGAAGCGGGGAGAAUCAAAACUGGCCUCCGUGUGCUGGUGUGGGGAAGGUCGCGCAUGCAAGAAAUCAGAACAGGCUGCCAGGGUUGGUCGGAAGCCUCAGGGGCAGGGGUCUGCCCAGGUAAAAACGUGGAUACGCCCAGAGAAACCAAAGCGGGCCCCCUCCUCACCCGCUGUCCCCCAACUCGGCCUUCUGGGUUUACAUUGAGAAGCUGUGGCUGGUGGGGGAGGGAGAUGGGUAGACUGUCCCCUGGGCCUAAGGAAUCCCCACACUGGCUCCCCUACUUGGACCCCACUACCUCCAAGUCCAUGUGGGGUUUUGAGAACCUGGAAGUGACCUCAGAUCUUCCAAAAGCACCCAAGAAUGCAACAAGUCAUGGCUUAACAGCAGAGCCAAUUCUGGCUUCCCUUUCACUGAAGGGAAUAUACAAGUCCCUCCCUGUCACAUCACCCUGUUUUACUGUUUUUACAGCAUUUUGUCACUACCUGAAGUUUUAAUAGUUAUUUGUUUACUUGUA
Molecule: long non-coding RNA, 2210 nt
Organism: Manis pentadactyla (Chinese pangolin)
Lineage: Eukaryota; Metazoa; Chordata; Mammalia; Pholidota; Manidae
Exons: 2
Source: RefSeq, a predicted model, not a curated record